AUUGAACGCUGGCGUCAGGCCUAACACAUGCAAGUCGAACGAGUGGCGGACGGGUGAGUAAUGUCUGGGAAACUGCCUGAUGGAGGGGGAUAACUAAUGGAAACGGUAGCUACUACCGCAUACCAUCAGAUGUGCCCAGAUUGGAUUAGCUAGUUGUUUGGGUAACGGCUCACCCAGUCGACGAUCACAAGCUGGUCUGAGAGGAUGACCAGCCACACGGGAACUGGGACACGGUCCAGACUCCUACGGGAGGCAGCAGUGGUGAAUAUUGCACAAUGGGCGCAAGCCUGAUGCAGCCAUGCCGCGUGUAUGAAGAAGGCCUUCGGGUUGUAAAGUACUUUCAGCGGGGAGGCGUUACCCGCAAAAGAAGCACCGGCUAACUCCGUGCCAGCAGCCGCGGUAAUAC
Molecule: ribosomal RNA, 406 nt
Filed under: uncultured bacterium
Lineage: Bacteria
Description: partial 16S ribosomal RNA
Rfam family: Bacterial small subunit ribosomal RNA
Source: RNAcentral